This is a long non-coding RNA of Lolium perenne, 926 nucleotides long. RefSeq lists it as uncharacterized. The record is from RefSeq and is a predicted model, not a curated record. Lineage: Eukaryota; Viridiplantae; Streptophyta; Magnoliopsida; Poales; Poaceae.
GUGUAGGCAGCCGGCGCUGCAGUCUACUGCGACGUGGCCGAGCUAGCGCCGUGACGAGCGAGGCAGCAUACAGAGUCACGGAAGAACGUCUUUUGCGACUCCAACGGCGGGCGUAUGAUCGACUAUUCCGGCGUGGGGAAGGUCGCUCCUUCUUUCUUUGAGGGCUCCACAUACUGGAGCGCGGACACGGGAGACGACAUUGCGCCCCUCGCUGUCGGAACUGGCUGGCAGCCGAGCAGUGCCCUUGCCUCCCUCCCUGCUGACGGCGCCAGAUCCAGAAGCAUCAUAUCCACCACCACCUGGCAGACGACGUCCCCCCCAUCCGCGAGGACAACCGGUAAGACCUGCCGCACCGCUCCUCCAUCUUCUGUAAAUUGUGCGAGAGGUGAACAACGACCAAAUCUCAGGAGUAAUGCUUGGUUAUUCAUAAAUCAUUCUUGGAAGUACAUGAAUUAUCAAAAGCAAGGGUUGAAUUUAUUUUGUGCCCUUGUUGAGGAGGUGACAGCGGUGAGUUACAUGUGAGAUGCGGAUGGAGGCGGUAGUGCUCAUCUGCCAUGGGUGCUUCCUUGGCCGGUGAAUUGGCCUUGGUGGCUUCUCAAUGGGAGGCCUUCAAGACUUCGAGUAGCAUAGGCUCGAUGUUCUUCUCCAUAUAGGCGCUGAUGAAGGUCUCCGAUUUUCUGGUGAAUUCAAAUACUCUAUAAUUUCUGUUUGAGUACGCACCUCUACCACAGGAAGUACACACACUUCAUGUCACCCGUGUUCCGGUACUGCGGAGCUGACAGGACUCUGGAUAUUUUGUCUUCCUAGAUUGGUCAUUUUGGGGCUGGAACUCCCGUGGAUUGAAAGGAUAUCUCAACCUAACCCAAGCACAGAAUCCAAACUUUUUUAAUACCUCUGGAUCAUCAUAAACCUCCUGGAUGGCGGAC